Molecule: ribosomal RNA, 449 nt
Filed under: uncultured bacterium
Lineage: Bacteria
Description: bacterial SSU rRNA
Rfam family: Bacterial small subunit ribosomal RNA
Source: RNAcentral
UCCAGACUCCUACGGGAGGCAGCAGUGGGGGAUAUUGGGCAAUGGGGGGAACCCUGAUCCAGCGACGCCGCGUGAGUGAAGAAGUAUUUCGGUAUGUAAAGCUCUAUCAGCAGGGAAGAAGAAAUGACGGUACCUGACUAAGAAGCCCCGGCUAACUACGUGCCAGCAGCCGCGGUAAUACGUAGGGGGCAAGCGUUAUCCGGAUUUACUGGGUGUAAAGGGAGCGUAGACGGCAGCGCAAGUCUGGAGUGAAAUGCCGGGGCCCAACCCCGGAACUGCUCUGGAAACUGUGAAGCUGGAGUGCAGGAGAGGUAAGCGGAAUUCCUGGUGUAGCGGUGAAACGCGUAGAUAUUAGGAAGAACACCAGUGGCGAAGGCGGCUUGCUGGACAGUAACUGACGUUGAGGCUCGAAAGCGUGGGGAGCAAACAGGAUUAGAUACCCCAGUAUA